Molecule: long non-coding RNA, 318 nt
Filed under: Ananas comosus (pineapple)
Lineage: Eukaryota; Viridiplantae; Streptophyta; Magnoliopsida; Poales; Bromeliaceae
Description: long non-coding RNA (ACOM_LNC026127)
Source: RNAcentral
GAUUUGAAUGUUGUUAAAUAAUUUGAAACUUUCUUAUAUAAAAUAACGAAAUAUUUGCUGAUGGAGAGGAAAGAUGGAGAGAGAAAAUGGAAACAAAAAGAGAAAAUUUUUUUUGAUAAUAUAGUAAAGAUAAAAUUAUGUAAUUAUCCACGUAUUAAAAGACAAAAAUAUUCCUCAUUGGGGUACCUGAUAAUCGGUACAUCUCUAAAAGUGACCUGCUAUUACAUGUCAUAAUUUUUUAAAAAGUAAAUUUGAGUUGUCGAAUAGGAGUGAAUGAACGGUAUUGAAAAAUAACAACUAUAGAAGCACUUGUACUCC